Molecule: transfer RNA, 84 nt
Filed under: Microcaldota archaeon
Lineage: Archaea; Nanobdellati; Microcaldota
Description: tRNA-Leu
Rfam family: tRNA
About the family: Transfer RNA (tRNA) molecules are approximately 80 nucleotides in length. Their secondary structure includes four short double-helical elements and three loops (D, anti-codon, and T loops). Further hydrogen bonds mediate the characteristic L-shaped molecular structure. tRNAs have two regions of fundamental functional importance: the anti-codon, which is responsible for specific mRNA codon recognition, and the 3' end, to which the tRNAs corresponding amino acid is attached (by aminoacyl-tRNA synthetases). tRNAs cope with the degeneracy of the genetic code in two manners: having more than one tRNA (with a specific anti-codon) for a particular amino acid; and 'wobble' base-pairing, i.e. permitting non-standard base-pairing at the 3rd anti-codon position.
Source: RNAcentral
GCAGGGGUGGCGGAGCCCGGUAACGCGCGGGACUUAAGAUCCUGUGGCCUAGCGCCUUCGGGGGUUCAAAUCCUCCCCCCUGCA